AGAGUUUGAUCCUGGCUCAGAUUGAACGCUGCCGGCAUGCCUUACACAUGCAAGUCGAACGGCAGCACGGGGGCAACCCUGGUGGCGAGUGGCGAACGGGUGAGUAAUGCAUCGGAACGUGCCAUGGAGUGGGGGAUAACGUAGCGAAAGUUACGCUAAUACCGCAUAUUCUGUUCGCAGGAAAGCAGGGGACCGCAAGGCCUUGCGCUCUUUGAGCGGCCGAUAUCAGAUUAGCUAGUUGGUGGGGUAAAGGCUCACCAAGGCGACGAUCUGUAGCAGGUCUGAGAGGAUGAUCCGCCACACUGGGACUGAGACACGGCCCAGACUCCUACGGGAGGCAGCAGUGGGGAAUUUUGGACAAUGGGGGCAACCCUGAUCCAGCCAUGCCGCGUGAGUGAAGAAGGCCUUCGGGUUGUAAAGCUCUUUCGGCCGGGAAAAAAUCGCUUCGGCUAAUACCCGGGGUGGAUGAUGUACC
Molecule: ribosomal RNA, 475 nt
Filed under: uncultured Rhodocyclaceae bacterium
Lineage: Bacteria; Pseudomonadati; Pseudomonadota; Betaproteobacteria; Rhodocyclales; Rhodocyclaceae
Description: bacterial SSU rRNA
Rfam family: Bacterial small subunit ribosomal RNA
Source: RNAcentral